RNAcentral lists this long non-coding RNA (900 nucleotides) under Cottoperca gobio. RNAcentral's name for it is "lncRNA (ENSCGOG00000011180.1)". The record is from RNAcentral. Lineage: Eukaryota; Metazoa; Chordata; Actinopteri; Perciformes; Bovichtidae.
CACCUGAGCUCCAUUAGUGAUCAGUGGGGCCAUAUAACCUUCCUGGAGCCAGUGAUCUCUUCCUCUUUGGUUUCCUGCCUUGCUGCCACCGGAGCUGUCGGCCUUGCUCAUGCUAUAGGACUGUGUAGUUCAUUGUUUAGUAGCCUAGUGUUAUUUAAAGAAGCUGGUCCAUCCAAUUGGUCCAUCCAUGGGCCGAAGUUUCAAAAUUAUCAUGUUAUUAUUAUCAAGCAAAGCUGUCUAACGGAGAGAUAUGGAAUACAAACCAAGAGCCUGCAGACAAUGUUGUGCCUGGAGAGAAACAAGCACAAUAACAGGGAGCUUCUACAAAAAGCACAAGAGGAAUAAUUCUUCUCUGAGGGCCUGGUGCUGUAGAGCAUUUCGGUGGAAAAUCCAUCAACAUCUAAUUUGUUGAAUUGAUUUUGGGGUUGUGUGGAUGAGGGAUUAGGAGCAUGUUCAGAUAUAUAAACUAAUGAGCUGACUGCUGGGUAACACCUGAGAUCAAUACGGGCUGCUGCUCAUUUAACAAGUGCGUUUGCCCACUCUUGAACUGAAAGGUAUAGGUAUAUAAAAUUGCUGAAUUAUAGGAUGAAUAGCUCAAAGGUUCAGAAUGUCCAGUUAUAAAGAUUAGAAGACUUUGGGGUAUCUCAAUAUAUUGAGAUAUACUUGUUGUUACUGGAUUUAGUAUAAUAAUAACUGGACUGGUGGGAAAAGGGAUUAUUAAACUGACACUAAAAUGUAUUUGAUGUGUGUGGAGUCUGCUUCCUGGUAGCAGUACUGUCAUAAAAUACUAUCAUUUAAGAAAACAGAGACUGAACAGAGAGUGUUUGUUUAUUCAUCAAUAUGUAAAUAAAGUACAAACAACAAUUGAACAUAAUGUCAAAUACUUAUACUUGACGGGAU